This 253-nucleotide ribosomal RNA is filed under the name uncultured bacterium. RNAcentral describes it as "partial 16S ribosomal RNA". It matches the Rfam family "Bacterial small subunit ribosomal RNA", at positions 524 to 776 of the family's 1533-position model. The record is from RNAcentral.
UACGGAGGAUGCAAGCGUUAUCCGGAAUGAUUGGGCGUAAAGGGUCCGCAGGUUGCAAUGUAAGUCUGCUGUUAAAGAGUGAGGCUCAACCUCAUAAGAGCGGUGGAAACUACAUAGCUAGAGUACGUUCGGGGCAGAGGGAAUUCCUGGUGUAGCGGUGAAAUGCGUAGAUAUCAGGAAGAACACCGGUGGCGAAAGCGCUCUGCUAGGCCGUAACUGACACUGAGGGACGAAAGCUAGGGGAGCGAAUGGU